GUCCUGCCCCGAGGAGAUUCCUGUAGGACACGAGGGGGUCCUGGGUGUUGGGUCUGCUUCUGUGCAGCCACUGUUGAGGUAGCGUUACAGAGGGAGAGACAAAGAGAAAGAUUACCAUCCGCUGCUUCACUCCCCAAAUGGCCACAACGGCUGGAGCUUUUCCAGGUCUCCCAUGUGGGUGCAGGGGCCCAAGCACCUUCCACUGCGUCCCCGGUCAAAGCAGGGGGCUGGAUCAGAAGUGAGCAGCCGGGACUCGAACCGGCACCCUUAUGGGAUGCUGGCACUGCAGGUGGAGGCUUAGCCCACUACACCACAGCGCCAGCCCCUCUAGGUCUCUCUUUCUCUAAACAAUGCCUGUGUGAACCCCG
Non-coding RNA from Oryctolagus cuniculus (rabbit), 368 nucleotides. NCBI's taxonomy places the organism in Eukaryota, Metazoa, Chordata, Mammalia, Lagomorpha, Leporidae. The record is from RefSeq and is a predicted model, not a curated record.